UACGUAGGGGGCAAGCGUUGUCCGGAAUCAUUGGGCGUAAAGAGCGUGUAGGCGGCCCGGUAAGUCCGCUGUGAAAGUCCAGGGCUCAACCCUGGGAUGCCGGUGGAUACUGUCGGGCUCGAGUCCGGAAGAGGAGUGUGGAAUUCCUGGUGUAGCGGUGAAAUGCGCAGAUAUCAGGAAGAACACCUAUGGCGAAGGCAGCACUCUGGGACGGUACUGACGCUGAGACGCGAAAGCGUGGGGAGCGAACAGG
RNAcentral lists this ribosomal RNA (253 nucleotides) under uncultured bacterium. Its description in RNAcentral is "partial 16S ribosomal RNA". It matches the Rfam family "Bacterial small subunit ribosomal RNA", at positions 524 to 776 of the family's 1533-position model. The record is from RNAcentral.